Vombatus ursinus (common wombat) is the source of this 429-nucleotide long non-coding RNA. RefSeq lists it as uncharacterized. The record is from RefSeq and is a predicted model, not a curated record. Lineage: Eukaryota; Metazoa; Chordata; Mammalia; Diprotodontia; Vombatidae. The transcript has 4 exons.
AAGUCUGCACCCAACAUUGGUAAAGGCAGUGAGCUCCCCAUGCUAAUGGUAUCACUGGCCUGGGGAGGAGAUGCAAAAUAAAGCAGUACAAUAUGAUAAGAAAACUCAAAGAACAUGGAAGAAGAAGACCUGGGCUUUUCUACAUGAUCUUGGGAGAUGCAGGGACCCCAGCUAGUCUGGUCUAACAGAAAGAACACUAAAUUUGAAGUUGUAAAACCUAUAUUCAAAUCCCAAUCCUUCCACUUCCUUUUGGUGAAACUUUGGAGAACUCUUCAGCCUGGAAGAUUACUUCAGCUCUGCCCAAGGACGUGUGACUGCGAACAGCUCUCAGUGAUCUCCACUCCAUUCUGGGAAUGUCUAACUUUGAGGGCAGCUUGUUAACUCAGAGGAUAUAGAGCACUGGGCAUGGAGUCAGGAAGACCUGAAUUC